AGUUUUUACAAAAUAUAAAUUUCACCUACUGGUUUCAGAUCCCUUUCCUUAAGCAAGCCGUAAAAAACAGCACAUUCUGUUGUGUUGAAUGACAUCUUCAUGAUAGCUGAUUGGCAAGACUGUGACUCAUAAUUUUUACAGAAUUUCAUUCGAGAUUUCCUUUCAAUAAUCACCAAUCCUAUUACUAUAAAACUUGGGAUAAAUGAAUGCAGUAACCUUCUGGUAUCAAACAAGAAGAGAAGAAUAUGAAGCGAUGAGAGCCAAAUCUUAUAAAGCUACCUUCCACUACAAUCAACAGUUAUGCAUGUGCUUUGUUUUCAAAUAUGAUCAUCAUUUUGGAAAUUAUACCCAUAUGAAGCAAUUAUCUCCUUUUUCUUGU
RNAcentral lists this unclassified non-coding RNA (379 nucleotides) under Hevea brasiliensis (rubber tree). The record is from RNAcentral. Lineage: Eukaryota; Viridiplantae; Streptophyta; Magnoliopsida; Malpighiales; Euphorbiaceae.